ACACAGUGCUACAAUGGCAGAUACAAAGAGAAGCGACCUCGCGAGAGCAAGCGGAACUCAUAAAGUCUGUCGUAGUCCGGAUUGGAGUCUGCAACUCGACUCCAUGAAGUCGGAAUCGCUAGUAAUCGUAGAUCAGAAUGCUACGGUGAAUACGUUCCCGGGCCUUGUACACACCGCCCGUCACACCAUGGGAGUGGGUUGCAAAAGAAGUAGGUAGCUUAACCUUCGGGGGGGCGCUUACCACUUUGUGAUUCAUGACUGGGGUGAAGUCGUAACAAGGUAACCGUAGGGGAACCUGCGGUUGGAUCACCUCCUUACC
Molecule: ribosomal RNA, 319 nt
Filed under: Xenorhabdus nematophila
Lineage: Bacteria; Pseudomonadati; Pseudomonadota; Gammaproteobacteria; Enterobacterales; Morganellaceae
Description: bacterial SSU rRNA
Rfam family: Bacterial small subunit ribosomal RNA
Source: RNAcentral